RNAcentral lists this unclassified non-coding RNA (5379 nucleotides) under Dimorphilus gyrociliatus. Its description in RNAcentral is "dgyrCDS4784". The record is from RNAcentral. Lineage: Eukaryota; Metazoa; Annelida; Polychaeta; Dinophilidae.
AUAUAUGAAAGGAGAAAGACAGGAGAGCAGAGAAAAAAUAUUUAUAGAAUAUCAAUAAAAGAAUCAAGAAAAUAUUGGAAAAAAAAUAAUAACACAGUGGAAAGUGAUAAACUAAAAGAAAUAUAAUGGAUUAUCCAGUUGAUACAGAUGACGAAGAGCCGAGAGAAGGAGAUUUUGGUGUUGAUUACGAAGUUAAUAAUGUUAUCGAAACGAAAAAGAGGGUCAGAUUUGCUGAUGAAUACGAGGAAGAUAAUGGAUUAAAUCAGGAUGAAUAUUCCAAGGGUGACUAUGAUGAUGAGCAUGCUGACUUUAUAGAAAAUCCAGGUGAAAAUGAUGUAAAACAUCGCAAUUCUUCUAUUUCUUCAACCGUACCAUUGUCUGCAACAUCAUCAAAAACGUAUUCAAAUUCGUCAUCUAUUAAAACAAUACAACCAACAAAGACAACUUAUGCUAGUACAAUAUCAACAACAACAACAACGACAACGACACCUGGUCGAAGAUUUGUAAACAAUGACGAACGUGUUUCAAUAGCCAAUUUGAAUGUGGCGAAAAAACAACUGCAAAAGUUUACUAUUCAAUCAGAAAACAAUAAGAAUACUUUAAAGAUGGAAGACAAACGAUAUGAUAGUGUAAUAGAAAAGGAAAUACUUUUAGAUGAGGAAAGAGAAUUACAAUUAAAAAAGGAGAGAGGAAUUAUUGUAAAUUCUCAAGAUUUCCAAGAAAUGACUGAAGUUGAUAGACAUACCCACGUUCAUAAAGAUGAAAUUAAUGACGAAUUGAAUGAAGAAGAUGAACAUGACGAAGAUGAAGAUGAAGAAUUUAAUGGAAAUUAUGAAACCAAUUUUCAUUCAGCUAAGGAAGAGACUUUAAUAGAAAAAGAGAUAAGAUUAGCUAAAGAAAGGGAAGAAGAGCUUAGACAACAACGCUCGUCCACAAGUCAAAUACAGUCACCACGACCAUCUACCACUAAUCCAAAUACGCCUACCCCUAUUAAAAGUGUCGUUGCUAAAACGCCUACUCAUUUUACUUCACCUUCAUCUACACCUACACCUAAUUCUACGCCAAAAACAAACGUAAAUCAACGAUUGUCUACUCCAUCAUCUACUUCUUCUCUUAAACGAAGCUCUCCUGCUCCAAUAGUAAUCCACGAAAGUCCAUGCAAUCAAUCAACUGAAAACAGACUUGCGAGAGAAUUGAGGGAGCAGGAGGAAAAAGAAGAGGAACUUCGAAUUAUUCGAAAGAAAAUGGGGUUACAAACAAAAGUUGAUGGAAUUGAAACAACGCCUAUACUUCCCAAUAUGCAGAAAAUCCAGAGUCCAUCCAUAAAUGAAUCGCCAUCUUCUCAACAUACAGAGAAGACUCAAUCUCCUCAUCAUUUUUCCGAAUCAUCUUACCCACCUGCAAAAGUAAAAGUAGCUCCUUUGUUAGAAGAAGACGAAACUGACCUCAGUCGAUUUGAAGUGAACACAAACGAAACUCCAAUUGAGACAGAAAUUAGACUGGCAAGGGAGCGAGAAGAGAGCUUUAGGAGAGAGAAAGGUAUAUCUCCAAAAGUAGCAAAAGAACAGGGGUCAAACUCUCCUCAUCAAAGAUUCUCUACUGGAACGCCGCCUAAUAUUGCAAAAACGAAUUCUAAUCAGAACUAUAAAACAUGGGUGCACUCAAGGAUUCAGAAUGAAAUUCAAUUGGAGCAGGAAAGAGAGGAAAACUUGAAACAUCAAGGCAGAAUAAUAACUACAUCAAAAGAUUCAGAAUCUGACGUUCGAAAAUAUACAGAAGUUACACCAACACAGCCAAAUAGCGAUAGAAAAUCAUUUGGAUCUGCAGGAAAGUCAAUUUUAAAGCACGAAAAUCAAACACGUAAAUUAUCAGAUUCAAACAGACCAAAUUCUUAUAAAUCUCCACAAAAUAUGAACAAUUCACCAAGAGGUUCAAUAGAUAGUACAGCAAGACAGAUAACGUCAAGCUCUUCAAUGAAUUUUGAAAACACUCCUACAAGCACAACGCGAAGAUUAAGCAGCGAAAACAUUCUAAAGCCCUCACCAAGGAGUAAUGACCUAAUUGAAAGAGAGUUGAGAGAAAUGCAUGAGAGAGAAGAAGAAUUGAGAAAGCAAAGAACUGCUCUCGGUCUCUAUCAUAAGAAUAAUGUACAGGAUAUAUACAACGACGACGAUGAUGACGACGACAUAGAAGAACAUAUAGAAACAGCCGAGGUAUACAGAGACGAAGCGAAUUUUCGUCGCUCGAGUAGUUCUUCAGUGGCAUCCUCUCAAAAUCAGAAUGAGAGCGGUUCCGCCGAGAGAGCAAGAAGAAAACAUAGAUUAGAAGCUGAGUGGAACCAAAAAAUCCAACAAAACUAUUGAAGAAAAAAUAAUAAUAAAAAACGAUUUUUCAAAAUGUUCAAUACUAUCUCCGUUUCGUUUACAAGUAAAUGGAAGAAAACUUCAAAGAACAGCAUCUUCCCUGGCUUUGCACUUUUUCGUUUUUUUGUCUCUUUGCCUUUAUUCAUCUCUGCCUCCCUCUCUACUGCUCUAUCCUAUUUUUUUUUUAUUUAUAAAAUGAUUCAAAACAAACUUUUCUGGCAAAUUUUCUCUCUCUCUCUCUCUCUGCUAAUUAUGAAUUCAUGAACUGCUUUUUUAUCAUUUUUUUUUUUAAAAGAAAACUUUACUCUCGAUAUUCGAACAAUCAAAAUAAAUGUAUUAAAUAAUUACAACGAUACAAUCAAAACUAUUGUAGUACAUAGUUUAUUGUGUUAUAGGGUUGACGCUUGUUUCGGUUUUCGAGAAGAUAAACUUGAGAUUACUCUGUGGUACGUAUUUUAGUGCGUAGAUUCUUGGUAGGAAUAAAAGAAUAAGGGUCAUAUAACCGUUUAAUAGACAACAAGAGGCUAACAGUAGGAUUUGGUGUUGAACUUUAAGUGAAGAAAAGUAGGCUGACAAUAAAACAAUCCAUACAAAAAGAGUCGCACUAACAAGACAGAAAAUAUGAGAGGCUUCGUUAAAAUUCUCUGGAAAUCUUCUCGAGAAGAAGCCCAGAAUGCAGCAUAUUAUACAUAAAAAUAUGUUGUACGUUAAGGUAAUAAUUAGAGCCGACAUACUAUAUUGACAAGUUGUUUCAACGUAAUUUUCGUGGAUAAACGGUUGUUUCAGCACUAUCAGUACUGGACUAAUAAUAAAUGUUAUGUUUGUGAGGCCUACUUGAAUUAAAAUUAAAACUCCUGUGAAUACUAUUUGGUAUUUAUCUUUAACAAACUUUAGAUUAGUUCUUCCUUCUGUCCCAGCUCUGAAUAUUCUCAAUAGUCUAGCUACUUUGCAAAGAAGAGGUGCGUAUAAUAUAGUGUAGGAUAGAUUAAAUAGAAUUCUCUGUACAUAGCAAAUUUGCUUUGUUGGCUGUGCUAAAAUGAAGAACACUGUUAAUAGUAUUAUUGCAACCCCCAAUAGGCUAAAGAGAGACAAAAUCAAUGAAGAAGCUUUAAUGAGCUGUACUUUUCGAUUUAGAAUAUAAACGAUGACUAUAAACAAUUCGGCGGCCAAGCCAAAGACUGCGAAUAAUUCCAGGCAUAUACUAUGGGUAUCAGAUAAUUUUGAGGACCAAGGUUCUAUAUUCAGGCACAUUGUUGCAGUUUCAGCAUCUGGCCAAGUAAAUUCUGGACAGCAUGCACAUGAAGAAUUAUCAAUAAUAAUUUCAUUUUCUCGACAUCUUCUACACUCCCAACAGCAAGUCGUUUGGAAAGUUAUACGAUAAUGUUUUGGAGGGCAGGGGAAACUGCAAAUUCCUUUUGGUUUUUUGUUCCUAAACCAGGCGAUAGGAGAUUUUUUCCAAGUGAUUGUGUUAUUUGAUCUAAACCAUUUACCAACAGUUCUCCUAUCGCCCGCCACUGUAAAUUGAACAAUAUCGUAAUCUCCAAUUACGUCACCAACACUAUCAAACAAGACAUUUCCUGUUAAUGACGGAAAAGUUCCCUUACGUGUUUUCUCAAGUAUUUUCUGUCCAGUAACGCAACUGUUCAAUUCGUGUUUAGUAGCAUUAGGACAAUCUUCUUUGAUAAUCGCGUCCAUAACUCGAGAGAAUAUCAAUACAGAAUCAUAAAUACCUGACGACCAAGCUUCAGAGAAUUUAAGUUGUUUUUCUUUUAAUGAGGAAAUUUUUGAAUGAGUUUGACAAAUUUUCGUAUGAAGUUUUGUUUUACUCCAACUACAAUCAAAAAUUUUUGACCAAUAUUCGUAAAGCCAUGGAUUUUCAGUAGAAUUUUUUGGAAUCUCGCCAUACACUUCUUCUCUUAAACCGGGUACUUCUAUGAAUGGAAAAUUCGUAAAGAAAGUAUUAUAUUUAACAACAGAUCUACUCUUUUCUUCCAAAAAUGAUAGGGAAUCUGUUCCCAAGUAUAAUUUCGACAGUAGUACAUCAUCUCCACUUAUUUUACGAAAAAAAAAGUUUGAAUUACUAUUACCAAGUGCCAAAACGACGAUAUCUGUCCUUGUAUCCCUCUUAAGCUUCUUACAUAUACGAUUCCAGUCAUUCUUCGUACUCUGGCCAGGAACCUUUAUAUACGAUGAAACGCAUAUGUUUCUCUGUGCCGCAACAUUUUUUAUCCACCUCGCUGCGUUUUCACCAUAGGGGCCUUCAGAGUAGACAAUGGUAAAAACGUUCCAGCCAUUUUCAUACAUGAAGGAAACAAGAGCAACAGCCUGGAACUUAUCAGGACUUACCACUCUGGAAAAGUAAGGAUAUCUUGAUUUGUCCGAUAAAUCGUCACUAGACGCUGAAGUUGAUAUUUGAGGUAUUUCAUAUAAUCCAAAUAACGGUGCAACCUUGAAUGAUAUUUCACAAUGAAACAUUAUCGAAUGAUAAAAAAUAUAAAUUACACAUUACCACUCUAGCCUGGGUACUUGAGUAGGGGCCAACAACAGCAUUUACUUCAAAUCUCUGCUCAGGAAGAAACAAUAGAGAUUCACCAAUAACACUCAGAAAGUUAUCGCAAUCAUCUAAAAUGCUAUAACCAAGUUUAAUACCAGAAAGAAGGUUCGUAUCCUCAUUCACUUGUCUAAUGGCCAUUUUUGCGGCAACAGCAUCAUAGUAACUAACAAUGCGAAAAUUGUUACUGCAAUAUUUUGUAGAUGUUGUCUCUCGUCUAUGUAAUGGUAAGAGAAAGCCAAUAUUUAAAUCUCCCUUUUUGUGCUCAAACUUUGAAUUCUUUAAAGAAUAAAAGCCAAUACCAGAACCGAAAAUUACUUGAAAUAAGCAAAAGAGGAAAAUUAUCUUUUCCAUUUCACUCAGUCGGGAAGCGAAAUAUUAAAGACUAAUGCGAAGAUGCAGAGAAGCCCCUAUCGGAGAAGUCUCUUUGUAACUAUAAAGUUGUUUAAGAUUUUGUUCUAAAUU